AUCUUUAUAGUUUAUUAAAAACGUUACACUGAAAAUGUAAAAAAAUUUCUUUUUUAAAGAUA
This 62-nucleotide transfer RNA is filed under the name Amblyomma fimbriatum (goanna tick). RNAcentral describes it as "tRNA-Phe". The record is from RNAcentral. Lineage: Eukaryota; Metazoa; Arthropoda; Arachnida; Ixodida; Ixodidae.